RNAcentral lists this unclassified non-coding RNA (215 nucleotides) under uncultured fungus. Its description in RNAcentral is "sequence contains ITS2". Lineage: Eukaryota; Fungi. The record is from RNAcentral.
AACGCAACUUGCACUUUCUGGGUCUACUAGAAAGUAUAUAUAUUUGAGUAUCAGAAUAAUCUAUCCAACAGCUAGUUGGGACGUGACCUGACUACACGUAGUAGGUCUAAAUGGAUUGCAAUCAAAAUGUGGUAAAAGACGGAUGUUCUUUCCCAUUGACGAUUUAAACUCUGAAUUAUGAUCUCAAAUUAUAUAAGAAUACCCGCUGAACUUAA